UACGGGGGGGGCAAGCGUUGUUCGGAAUUACUGGGCGUAAAGCGUGCGCAGGCGGCUUUGCAAGACAGAUGUGAAAUCCCCGGGCUUAACCUGGGAACUGCAUUUGUGACUGCAUGGCUGGAGUGUGGCAGAGGGGGAUGGAAUUCCGCGUGUAGCAGUGAAAUGCGUAGAUAUGCGGAGGAACACCGAUGGCGAAGGCAAUCCCCUGGGCCUGCACUGACGCUCAUGCACGAAAGCGUGGGGAGCAAACAGG
RNAcentral lists this ribosomal RNA (253 nucleotides) under uncultured bacterium. RNAcentral describes it as "partial 16S ribosomal RNA". It matches the Rfam family "Bacterial small subunit ribosomal RNA", at positions 524 to 776 of the family's 1533-position model. The record is from RNAcentral.